GUAAAACAUUAAUGGCAAAAUGACACCUUUACAGCGAUGUGUUCUAAUAAGCUUACUUGUUUUUACAAUUGGUCAAUUUUGAAUUUGAGCAUUAACAAGAUCAAAUUUAAUCCAAUUUACUCUUUGUCACAAGGUCAUUAAACACAUUGUUGAAAAGGUGCUAGUUUGUAUUCAAUCACAAUGAUUAUUUUAAUGCAGUUAAAUUGUUUCAUCUUCAUCCUCUGAAGAAAUGUCUACUGGUCCACGUUUAAGAAGGUUUUUC
This is a non-coding RNA of Paramuricea clavata, 262 nucleotides long. NCBI's taxonomy places the organism in Eukaryota, Metazoa, Cnidaria, Anthozoa, Malacalcyonacea, Plexauridae. The record is from the annotation of a GenBank genome assembly.